GGGGGGGGAAAAAAAAACCCCCCCCGGGGGAAAAAAAAAUUUUUUGGGGUGUUUUUAAUUUUCCCCGCCAAAAAUUUUUUUUUUUGGGGGGAAAAAAAAGGGGGGGCCCCUUUUUUUUUAUUAUUUGUUUUUUCGUUUUUUAAGAGUGGAGCCCCGGCGUUAAGGAUUAAGCUUAGUUGGGGGAGGUCAAAAAGUUCCCCCAAAGGCAACCGAUCUUUUAGGCUGUUUUGGAGGGAUGAUUAAGCCCCCCUGGGGAUUAAGACCCGGCCCCAGAUUCUUCGGGGAGGCAGCAAUGGGGGAAUAUGGAACAAUGGGCGCAAAGCCUGAUCCAGCAAUUACCGCGUGUGUGAAGAAGGCUGAAGGGUUGUAAAGCACUUUCAAUUGUGAAGAAAAAGCUAAAGCCCAAUAAUCUUUAGCCUUGACGUUAACUUUAGAAGAAGCACCGGCUACCUCCGUGCCAGCAGCCGCGGUAAUACGGAGGGUGCAAGCGUUAAUCCGAAUUACUGGGGCGUAAAGCGUGCGUAGGUGGUUUGUUAAGUCAGAUGUGAAAUCCCCGGGCUCAACCUGGGAACUGCAUUUGAAACUGGCAAACUAGAGUAUAGGAGAGGAAAGUGGAAUUUCUGGUGUAGCGGUGAAAUGCGUAGAUAUCAGAAGGAACAUCAAUGGCGAAGGCAGCUUUCUGGACUAAUACUGACACUGAGGUACGAAAGCGUGGGUAGCAAACAGGAUUAGAUACCCUGGUAGUCCACGCCGUAAACGAUGAUAACUAGCCGUUGGGAGGGUUUACCUCUUAGUGGCGAAGCUAACGCGUUAAGUUAUCCGCCUGGGGAGUACGGCCGCAAGGUUAAAACUCAAAGGAAUUGACGGGGACCCGCACAAGCGGUGGAGCAUGUGGUUUAAUUCGAUGCAACGCGAAGAACCUUACCUGGUCUUGACAUACACGGAACUUUCCAGAGAUGGAUUGGUGCCUUCGGGAACCGUGAUACAGGUUCUGCAUGGCUGUCGUCAGCUCGUGUCGUGAGAUGUUGGGUUAAGUCCCGUAACGAGCGCAACCCUUAUCCUUAUUUGCCAGCACAUAAUGGUGGGAACUAUAAGGAGACUGCCGGUGAUAAACCGGAGGAAGGCGGGGACGACGUCAAGUCAUCAUGGCCCUUACGACCAGGGCUACACACGUGCUACAAUGGGAAGGACAAAGGGUGGCUAAGCCGCGAGGUGGUGCUAAUCUCAUAAACCCUUUUGUUUUUACUAGCGGUGUGUACAAGUCCCGUGCAUGUAUUCGGAAUGGCUUGUAGUCCGGGUAUGAUAGCGAUCUGUUAUGCCCC
This 1322-nucleotide ribosomal RNA is filed under the name uncultured bacterium. RNAcentral describes it as "partial 16S ribosomal RNA". It matches the Rfam family "Bacterial small subunit ribosomal RNA", at positions 100 to 1359 of the family's 1533-position model. The record is from RNAcentral.